GGAGGGUUCGCAUAGUGGUCUAGUGCGCACGCUUGGAAAGCGUGUGUGUCGCAAGGCACCGAGGGUUCGAAUCCCUCACCCUCCGCCU
This 88-nucleotide transfer RNA is filed under the name Candidatus Kaiserbacteria bacterium RIFCSPHIGHO2_01_FULL_55_79. Its description in RNAcentral is "tRNA-Ser". It matches the Rfam family "tRNA". Rfam says of the family: Transfer RNA (tRNA) molecules are approximately 80 nucleotides in length. RNAcentral also lists the same sequence under 3 other names. Lineage: Bacteria; Candidatus Kaiseribacteriota. The record is from RNAcentral.